AGAGGGUGCGAGCGUUAAUCGGAAUUACUGGGCGUAAAGGGCGCGUAGGUUGACCGUCAAGUUGCAUUUUAAAGGCCCGUGCUUAACGUGGGUAAGGAUGCAAUACUGGCGGACUAGAGUACAGUAGAGGGAAGUGGAAUUUCAGGUGUAGCGGUGAAAUGCGUAGAUAUCUGAAGGAACAUCAGUGGCGAAGGCGACUUUCUGGACUGAUACUGACACUGAGGCGCGAAAGCGUGGGUAGCGAACAGGGAUUAGAUACCCUGGUAGUCCACGCCGUAAACGAUGAAAACUAGCCCGUAUGUCACAUGAGUGAUGUGUGGCGCAGCUAACGCGAUAAGUUUUCCGCCUGGGAGUACGGCCGCAAGGCUA
Molecule: ribosomal RNA, 369 nt
Filed under: uncultured organism
Description: partial 16S ribosomal RNA
Rfam family: Bacterial small subunit ribosomal RNA
Source: RNAcentral